RNAcentral lists this ribosomal RNA (56 nucleotides) under uncultured eukaryote. RNAcentral's name for it is "partial small subunit ribosomal RNA". The record is from RNAcentral.
UGUGACUGGUGCGAAGUCGUAACAAGGUAGUGGUAGGUGAACCUGCAGAAGGAUCA